This 469-nucleotide ribosomal RNA is filed under the name uncultured bacterium. RNAcentral describes it as "bacterial SSU rRNA". It matches the Rfam family "Bacterial small subunit ribosomal RNA", at positions 28 to 507 of the family's 1533-position model. The record is from RNAcentral.
GAUGAACGCUAGCGGCAGGCCUAAUACAUGCAAGUCGAACGGUGUCUUCGGACAUAGUGGCGUACGGGUGCGUAACACGUAUGCAACCUACCUUACAUUGGGGGAUAGCCUUUCGAAAGGGAGAUUAAUACCGCAUAAGACAGUAACUAGGCAUCUAGUAGCUGUUAAAGAUUUAUCGAUGUAAGCUGGGCAUGCGUCCAAUUAGCUAGUUGGUGAGGUAACGGCUCACCAAGGCAAUGAUUGGUGGGGGAACUGAGAGGUCAAUCCCCCACACUGGCACUGAGAUACGGGCCAGACUCCUACGGGAGGCAGCAGUAGGGAAUAUUGGGCAAUGGACGCAAGUCUGACCCAGCCAUGCCGCGUGCAGGAUGAAGGCGUUAUGCGUUGUAAACUGCUUUUAUACAGGAAGAAACGACUCUUGCGAGAGGCAUUGACGGUACUGUAUGAAUAAGCACCGGCUAACUCCGUG